UGCCAGCAGCCGCGGUAAUUCCAGCUCCAAUAGCGUAUAUUAAAGUUGUUGCGGUUAAAAAGCUCGUAGUUGGAUCUCAGUUCAUGCUAAGUGGUCCACCAAAUGGUGGUUACUGCUUAGCUGAGCAUUUUACAGAUUUGUCUCCUGAUGCUCUUCACCGAGUGUCAAGAGUGGUCUGUACGUUUACUUUGAAAAAAUUAGAGUGCUUAAAGCAGGCAACUCGCCCGAAUAAUCUUGCAUGGAAUAAUGGAAUAGGACCUUGGUUCUAUUUUGUUGGUCUCCGGAAUCUGAGGUAAUGAUUAAGAGGGACAGACGGGGGCAUUCGUAUUGCGCCGCUAGAGGUGAAAUUCUUGGACCGGCGCAAGACGAACUACAGCGAAAGCAUUUGCCAAGAAUGUUUUCAUUAAUCAAGAACGAAAGUUAGAGGUUCGAAGGCGAUCAGAUACCGCCCUAGUU
This 456-nucleotide ribosomal RNA is filed under the name Blankaartia sinnamaryi. Its description in RNAcentral is "SSU rRNA". It matches the Rfam family "Eukaryotic small subunit ribosomal RNA", at positions 565 to 1025 of the family's 1831-position model. The record is from RNAcentral. Lineage: Eukaryota; Metazoa; Arthropoda; Arachnida; Trombidiformes; Trombiculidae.